AUGGGGCAUCUCCUCCAGGGCUGYCCCCAAAGCCCCAUCCCUGUCCUCAGCGUGGGGAUGCCUCAGCUCUCCUGUACUCACCACCUCUCCGGCCACCUCGACCCCCAGCAGCCACCAAAGGCUCCUCAUGAAGACAGGCCUCAUCCUCAUUGUCAUCGGGCACCUCAACUUCAUCGCUGGGGCCUUCAUCCAUGGCAUCAUUCCCUGUUUCAUGGCCAACCCCCAGGACACCACCUCCCUGCAGUACUUGGUCUCCAACUUGGUUGUCUCUGCACUGCUGGUACCGCAGGGCACAGGUGCACAGGAGGAUGCAGGGGUGGACGCGGUGGGGACACAGGGUGGAUGCAGGAUGGACAYGGCAUGGAUGGGGAUGGAUGCAGGGUGUGCACACGUUGGACACGGCGUGGAUGGGGAUGGAUGCAGGGUGUGCACACGUUGGACACGGCGUGGAUGCUGGGCGCAGCCUGGGCUCGCUGUCCUGCCUGCUGGGGCUGUCCCUCUCCACCGGGCUUGCGCUGGGCAGCCGGCGCCGGGUGCUGCUGGCCCCCUGCACCUUCGCUGACGUGGCCUUCAUCCAGGCUGCCCACGAGUGCCCCUUCCAUCCCCCCCCCCCCGUGUCUCUGUGAGUCCUGGCGGCCCCAAGGGCGUCCUGCCCUGGGGUCCCACGGCCCCAGCACCCCGUCUUUGAGGGGGUCAGGGCUCAGCGGCCGUGCCAGCCCCAAGGCUGAGUGGGACACGUGUGGGGAGGGUGCAGGGGGCCUGAUGCCCCCCGUCCCCGCAGAGCUCCUCGCUCUCCCUCUGGACCUUCUCCCUCAUGCUCGACUUGGUGCAGAUCRUCUUCAGCAUCCGCUGCCUCCUGCUCUCCCUCAGCAUCCUCCGCCCCGGCCACUGCUGCCGCGGGAUGCAACGGAAAAAGGAGACGCUGGCACCGUCCCCUCGUGGCUCACCCCUGCCCCACGCAGCCCCAUGAGCGGCUCGCAGGUGCCCGGUCUCAGCACCCCAGCUCAGCAGCCUGGGCUCGGCCCAGACCCGCUCCCACGGCACCGGACCUGGCUCCAGCCCUCGGCUGCCACAAGGUUACGCCAAAAAUCCCUGUCCUCAGUUCUCUGCCCCGGCCGCGGUGCCCCGACCCUCCCUGCUGUGCCCCAGCACCCGCAUGGCCCCACAGAGACACCCAGCCUCCCCUCAGCCCGGCUUUUGGGUGGACACACAUCCCCCGGGUGCUGCCCACCACCGGCCGUGCAGCACGAGCCCAUCCCCACGGCCUCAGGCCACCUGCAGCUGCGGCAAGGGGGGAGAACGGGCCCGAGCUGGACUUUCCCCUCAACAUUGAUGGUCCCUUUCCCACCAGCRGCUGCACUGAGACAAACUUUAUUCUGCAGGUGUUAA
This 1389-nucleotide long non-coding RNA is filed under the name Apteryx haastii (Great spotted kiwi). RNAcentral's name for it is "lncRNA (ENSAHAG00000008450.1)". The record is from RNAcentral. Lineage: Eukaryota; Metazoa; Chordata; Aves; Apterygiformes; Apterygidae.